AAGCAGUGCAGGGUCAGGAAUCUGCAUUGGAAGAGCUCUCUGCGCUGCUGGAUUCUCUGCUCCAGGGCUCUUCCAGAUCCUGGGGGGACAGCUCUGACAACAGCAGGUCCCCACACAAUGUGAAGAGGAAGUUAAGCAGGGUGCUGUGAUCUGCAAAGGAAGAGCUGCUGCAGGGGCAAGGGUGUGGCUCUGAGGAGGGGAUGGGGGGCAGGACAGAGCCGGACGGACGAAUACAUUUGGGGGGGGGGUUGCAGGCAGAGGGAGCAGCAACCACAGUAGCACAGAGGCCAGACAAGGAAGGAGCUUGGUCUUUUGCCUGGGGUGCUUUUGUCAGAAAGCCUCUCCAUUCCACUCCCUGUGAUGCCUCCUCUGGGAACCCUUCGCUGACCACCGCAGCUACCUUAGUCCCAUGUGCCUGCCAGCUCUCCAUGCUCACGCAGUUCACAUCCUGUGCUGUCUCUGUGAGAAAGCUGCCUGCCUCAUGCACAUGCUUCUCCCAGCCCUCCUCCCCUGUGUAACUUGGACAUGACCAACCCCAAGCCCUAGCUGUCCAAAUGAGCGUGGUUGUUCAAGUCAAGCCAAUGGGAGAGAGAACUGCAGGAAAGAUCUGGAAAGUGGAGUUCUCCUGCUGCUGCUGCUUAAGUAAGGCUGGGGCUGCUGGGCGUCAUGUUUGCCCUGAGGAGGAGAGAAUACACAAACACAGGAAAUCAAUAUUAGAGAGGGAACAGGGGGCUGAGGAGGAAAGAGGAGAGGGGAAGGAGAGAGAGCUCAGUGAAUUACUUAAACACUGGGAUCCAGCCAUCUCUGAGACCCAUGCUCCCCCGAGUUUUCCAGAAGAACCAAUACAUUCCCUUUUGUGCCUGGUUUCCGUCGCUCCUGAGAGAAGGUCUGAUACAGCCUCAGAGAUCUGCACAUGUAGCUGAGGUACUCUACCCUGGAGGGAUGUGGGCAGAGGCUUCCUUCUCUCCGAAACCACUCCUACUCCAGGGACUACAGUUCUCUGAGACCUGAGCCUGGGGCUGCAAGGCAGGAUUGCAGUGCAAGCAAGGUCAGAGGCCAAAGCCGGCAGAAACUGCAGGGAGCAGGGCGGGUUGGGGCUGGGUUUGCAUUGUUAAUGUCAACAUCCAUCUUCCUUGAGUCUUCUUUGCAGGGAUGGCCCUAAAUUCAUUAGCCUGCUUAUUAGUUCUGGCCACCAUUCAGGAAAGGUCGUUUCC
This 1214-nucleotide long non-coding RNA is filed under the name Cricetulus griseus (Chinese hamster). RNAcentral's name for it is "lncRNA (ENSCGRG00015042144.1)". Lineage: Eukaryota; Metazoa; Chordata; Mammalia; Rodentia; Cricetidae. The record is from RNAcentral.